CCUACGGGAGGCAGCAGUGGGGAAUAUUGGGCCAUGGGCGCAAGCCUGACCCAUCAAUGCCGCGUGAAGGAAGAAGGCUUUCGGGUUGUAAACUUCUUUGACAGGGGAAGAGCAGAAGACGGUACCCUGAAAACAAGCCACGGCUAACUACGUGCCAGCAGCCGCGGUAAUACGUAGGUGGCAAGCGUUGUCCGGAUUUACUGGGUGUAAAGGGCGUGUAGCCGGGAAGGCAAGUCAGAUGUGAAAUCUGGAGGCUCAACCUCCAAAUUGCAUUUGAAACUGUUUUUCUUGAGUACUGGAGAGGCAGACGGAAUUCCGUGUGUAGCGGUGAAAUGCGUAGAGAUAAGGAGGAACACCAGUGGCGAAGGCGGUCUGCUGGACAGCAACUGACGGUGAGGCGCGAAAGCGUGGGGAGCAAACAGGAUUAGAUACCCCAGUAGUC
RNAcentral lists this ribosomal RNA (442 nucleotides) under uncultured bacterium. RNAcentral's name for it is "partial 16S ribosomal RNA". It matches the Rfam family "Bacterial small subunit ribosomal RNA", at positions 338 to 795 of the family's 1533-position model. The record is from RNAcentral.